RNAcentral lists this long non-coding RNA (1137 nucleotides) under Sus scrofa (pig). RNAcentral describes it as "lncRNA (ENSSSCG00005023675.1)". Lineage: Eukaryota; Metazoa; Chordata; Mammalia; Artiodactyla; Suidae. The record is from RNAcentral.
CCAGGCGUGGCCGGCCUCGGCGUGCCGGGAUCCCCCAGCUUCCUCAAUGGUUCCACGGCCACCUCACCCUUCGCCAUCAUGCCCUCUAGCCCCCCGCUGGCCGCUGCCUCCUCAGUGUCCCUCCCAGCGGCUGCCCCCACCACCAGCGUCUUCUCCUUCUCGCCUGUCAACAUGAUCUCCGCUGUCAAACAGAGGAGCGCUUUCGCCCCCGUGCUGCGCCCACCCAGCUCCCCGCCCCAAGCCUGCCCCAGAGCCCACGGAGAGGGGCUUCCAGACCAGCCUUUUGAAGAUUCUGACAAGUUCCACUCUCCAGCUCGGGGGCUUCAGGGCCUGGCAUACUCCUAAUUAUGGUCUGCAGGUGUGACCCCACUCAGCCCGGACCAGUGGUCCCUCCAGGAUUCACAACCAUGCCCUGGAUCAAAGCACAGACAGAUGCAGGACCAGGGCUGUGGGCAGACCUCAAGCCACAGGCCUGAAUGGGAGAGGCCUUCCUCCCUGGUUCAAGGGGCCCCCAGUCCCACCGGCUUCUCUCACCUCCCUUUCCUGGGGCGGGUCGGAAGCUCCAGCACUGUGCUAACGCUCUUGUUAGGAGAGCAUCCCAGGGAGGUGCUGGGACACCGGGCCUCACUUGUUGGCUCAGUCCCUCUGGAAGAGAUGGACCUUGGAUGAACCAUGCACAUCCAGCGACAGGAGCGUGGGUUGGGGACUGUGGAAAGAGCUCAGGGAGAGGUGGCCUGGGGAGGUCCUGUUUGCGUCUGAUCCAUCUCAAACAUCCCAGCAUCCCAACUACUCUCCAGGGCAUGAGGUGGUCCCCAGCAGCCUCAGGAGGCCGGCCUAGGCUCCCAUGGAGCUUCUGACGGCCACUUGAUCCCAUGGCUGUCCCACUCCCUUUGAGUCCUGUGCACUCAUGCUCACCACAUCAUGAAUCCCAGUGGGGGCUUUGGGCAUGAAGGGUGCAGGGAGGAGGUGCAAGGCCUCCUGGGUUGUGGGUCUUGCCCUUGAUGGAUGCCUCGUGGACUCUGGCCCCACACACAGAUGACUGGCUGGCCCCAUGGAACCAUGGAAUGGGUCCAGCUGCCCCUGGCCUCUACGCUGCUCUGCUGAGGUUGGAGAAAACAAUAAACACAGAUGCAGGUG